UACAGAGGUCUCAAGCGUUGUUCGGAUUCAUUGGGCGUAAAGGGUGCGUAGGUGGCGCUGUAAGUCGGGUGUGAAAUUUCGGAGCUUAACUCCGAAACUGCAUUCGAUACUGCGGUGCUUGAGGACUGGAGAGGAGACUGGAAUUCAUGGUGUAGCAGUGAAAUGCGUAGAGAUCAUGAGGAAGACCAGUGGCGAAAGGCGGGGUCUCUGGACAGUUCCUGACACUGAGACACGAAGGCCAGGGGAGCAAACGGG
Molecule: ribosomal RNA, 255 nt
Filed under: uncultured bacterium
Lineage: Bacteria
Description: partial 16S ribosomal RNA
Rfam family: Bacterial small subunit ribosomal RNA
Source: RNAcentral